RNAcentral lists this long non-coding RNA (343 nucleotides) under Brassica rapa (field mustard). Its description in RNAcentral is "long non-coding RNA (BRAP_LNC007433)". The record is from RNAcentral. Lineage: Eukaryota; Viridiplantae; Streptophyta; Magnoliopsida; Brassicales; Brassicaceae.
UGCCUCCCUCAGGAAUCUCUCUUAACAUCCUCCCCUGGGUCUUAUGGGCCAUCUGGACGGCGAGAAACACCCUCAUCUUCGAAGGACGAUACCAAUCUCCUGAGGAAACAGCACUGAAAGGGAUUAAGUUAGCAAGAGAAUGGACCAACUCGCAAAAUCAAUCCUCUGGAAAGAAGGACCUACCUCAGAGUCAGCAACUCCAACCGCGAGCACCACCACAGAUUAAUCUCGAUAACGACCAGGUGAAUUGCAAGACAGACGCGGCGUGGCACAAGGACAAACUCGUUGCAGGACUAGGGUGGGUGUUCUCGGGACCGCGACUCGAAUCUCCCAUCAAAGGAUC